This 76-nucleotide transfer RNA is filed under the name Paenalicyclobacillus cycloheptanicus. Its description in RNAcentral is "Alicyclobacillus cycloheptanicus tRNA-Arg". It matches the Rfam family "tRNA". From Rfam's summary of the family: Transfer RNA (tRNA) molecules are approximately 80 nucleotides in length. Their secondary structure includes four short double-helical elements and three loops (D, anti-codon, and T loops). The record is from RNAcentral. Lineage: Bacteria; Bacillati; Bacillota; Bacilli; Caryophanales; Alicyclobacillaceae.
GCGCCCGUAGCUUAGUGGAUAGAGCGCUGGCCUCCGGAGCCAGAGGUCGGGGGUUCGAGUCCCUCCGGGCGCGCCA